CCUUACUCCACUACACUACAAAGCAGAGAGAAGAGCAAGGUCCCCUUGAAUCCUGACGAGUCCACCGCUUAACGAGGUGUGUUCACCUGUCCCUGUAGGAGUGCCAGGUGCUUCCAAGGCAGAGAAAGACCAAGGAUGGUGUCUACGGGAGAACAAGAGAUCUACAGUAUAUGCUGAUUCUCAAGAUCUUGCACACUAAUGAGAUGCCAUUGAGCCCACACUACUACACUGUCUGAGCCAAGGACGACAUGCUUUAUGGAAAAUGCCACGGGCACUAUCUGAUGUGUGGAGACAUUUCACUGCAGCUAAUGUAUAAGGAAAAGCUGUGUAUAUUUGCAAAUACUGUUCCAAAUCAUAUGUGAAGAACGCAACAAAGAUGCAGAAUCAUCUGGCCAAGUGCAUAAAGUUCCCUCAGUGCUCACAACAAGCAACCUCUGACAAAAGUCCCUCUACUUCUAUUCGAGGUGAAAAUGAUGAAUCAGACACCUUAUCGAUAGCAACAACUCAUGGUCUUCCUGGAAUCAGAAGUUUUUUUGACUCAAUAGAGGAACGCAGUCAGAGAAAUGCUGAUGAAUAUCUUGCUCGAGCUGUGUAUGCAACUGGUUCACACCUGAUGCUCCCAGGCAAUGUGUAUUGGAAGACAUUUCUGGAUGUUCUUCACCCAGCAUACACCCCUCCAACCAGACAUGCUUUAUCUACUCAUUUGCUGGAUGCAGAGUUCAACAGCGUUCAAGUGAAGGUCAAGCAAAUCAUAGAGAAAGCAGACUGUAUUGCAAUCAUCUCUGAUGGGUGGUCAAAUGUUCAUGGGCAAGGAAUAAUUAACUACAUCUCCACCCCUCAACCAGUUUUCUACAAUAGCACAGACACAAGGGACAACAGACACACCGGUCACUACAUUGCAGAUGAGCUGAAGGCAGUCAUCAAUGACCUUGGACCACAGAAGGUAUUUGCACUGGUGACAGACAAUGCUGCGAACAUGAAGGCUGCUUGAUCUAAAGUGGAGGAGUCUUACCCUCACACCCAUUGGCUGUGCUGCACAUGCAUUGAAUCUGCUCCUCAAAGACAUCAUGGCACUGAAAACAAUGGAUACACUACAAGAGAGCCAAGGAUAUGGUUAGGUAUGUGAAGGAUCAUCAAGUUAUAGCAGCAAUCUACCUCACCAAGCAAAGUGAGAAGAAUAAGAGCACCACAUUGAAGCUGCCCAGCAACACCCGUUGGGGUGGUGUUGUCAUCAUGUUUGACAGUCUCCUGGAGGGGAAGGAGUCUCUCCAAGAAAUGGCCAUAUCACAGUCUGCUGAUAUGGACAGCCCCAUCAUGAGGAUCCUCCUGGAUGAUGUAUUUUGGGAGAGAGUGGAAAACAGCCUGAAACCUAUAGCAGUAGCCAUUGCACGGAUUGAGGGAGACAAUGCCAUCCUGUCUGAUGUUCAGACUCUGCUUGCAGAUGUAAGAGAAGAAAUCCGUACUGCCCUGCCCACUUCACUGUUGCUCCAAGAGGAGGAAACUGCAGUUCUGAAAUACAUCAAAAAGCGUGAAGACUUCUGCCCGAAGCCCAUACACGCCGCAGCGUACAUGUUGGACCUCAAGUAUGCUGGCAAGAGCAUCCUGUCUGGUGC
Molecule: long non-coding RNA, 1613 nt
Filed under: Salmo salar (Atlantic salmon)
Lineage: Eukaryota; Metazoa; Chordata; Actinopteri; Salmoniformes; Salmonidae
Description: lncRNA (ENSSSAG00000087285.1)
Source: RNAcentral